CAAACGGGUGCGGAACACGUACACAACCUUCCUUUAAGUGGGGAAUAGCCCAGAGAAAUUUGGAUUAAUACCCCUUAACAUUAUGAUGUGGCAUCACAUUAUAAUUAAAGCUCCGGCGCUUAAUGAUGGGUGUGCGGCUGAUUAGGUAGUUGGCGGGGUAACGGCCCACCAAGCCUUCGAUCAGUAACUGGUGUGAGAGCACGACCAGUCGCACGGGCACUGAGACACGGGCCCG
Molecule: ribosomal RNA, 235 nt
Filed under: uncultured bacterium
Lineage: Bacteria
Description: partial 16S ribosomal RNA
Rfam family: Bacterial small subunit ribosomal RNA
Source: RNAcentral